AUUGAACGCCGGCGGCAUGCCUUACACAUGCAAGUCGAACGGUAACGCGGGGCAACCUGGCGACGAGUGGCGAACGGGUGAGUAAUAUAUCGGAACGUGCCCAAUAGUGGGGGAUAGCCCGGCGAAAGCCGGAUUAAUACCGCAUACGACCUGAGGGUGAAAGCGGGGGAUCGCAAGACCUCGCGCUAUUGGAGCGGCCGAUAUCAGAUUAGGUAGUUGGUGGGGUAAAGGCCUACCAAGCCUACGAUCUGUAGCUGGUCUGAGAGGACGACCAGCCACACUGGAACUGAGACACGGUCCAGACUCCUACGGGAGGCAGCAGUGGGGAAUUUUGGACAAUGGGGGCAACCCUGAUCCAGCCAUUCCGCGUGAGUGAAGAAGGCCUC
This 386-nucleotide ribosomal RNA is filed under the name uncultured bacterium. Its description in RNAcentral is "bacterial SSU rRNA". It matches the Rfam family "Bacterial small subunit ribosomal RNA", at positions 30 to 418 of the family's 1533-position model. The record is from RNAcentral.